GCGCCAGUAGCUCAGCGGAUAGAGCGUUUGCCUCCGGAGCAAAAGGUCACAGGUUCGAUCCCCGUCUGGCGUA
RNAcentral lists this transfer RNA (73 nucleotides) under Candidatus Chloroheliaceae bacterium. Its description in RNAcentral is "tRNA-Arg". It matches the Rfam family "tRNA". Rfam says of the family: Transfer RNA (tRNA) molecules are approximately 80 nucleotides in length. Their secondary structure includes four short double-helical elements and three loops (D, anti-codon, and T loops). The record is from RNAcentral. Lineage: Bacteria; Bacillati; Chloroflexota; Chloroflexia; Candidatus Chloroheliales; Candidatus Chloroheliaceae.